GAUUGUCGGGAGUUAAGAAAUGUAAGGAUGUUAAUAGUAUUCUUACUUGACUAAGGCUCCGGAGGAAGCCACGGCUAACUCUGUGCCAGCAGCCGCGGUAAUACAGAGGCGGCAAGCGUUGUUCGGAAUUAUUGGGCGUAAAGAGCAUGUAGGCGGCUAUGUAAGUCGGUUGUGAAAGCCUUCCGUUUAACGGAAGAAUGGCGGCCGAAACUGCAUAGCUUGAGUGCGGUAGGGGAGAG
This 239-nucleotide ribosomal RNA is filed under the name uncultured Planctomycetales bacterium. RNAcentral describes it as "partial 16S ribosomal RNA". It matches the Rfam family "Bacterial small subunit ribosomal RNA", at positions 431 to 661 of the family's 1533-position model. The record is from RNAcentral. Lineage: Bacteria; Pseudomonadati; Planctomycetota; Planctomycetia; Planctomycetales.